GCACUCGUAGCUCAAUGGAAAGAGCAAAUGACUUCGAAUCAUUAGGUUGUAGGUUCGACUCCUACCGAGUGUG
RNAcentral lists this transfer RNA (73 nucleotides) under Gammaproteobacteria bacterium. RNAcentral describes it as "tRNA-Arg". It matches the Rfam family "tRNA". From Rfam's summary of the family: Transfer RNA (tRNA) molecules are approximately 80 nucleotides in length. Their secondary structure includes four short double-helical elements and three loops (D, anti-codon, and T loops). Lineage: Bacteria; Pseudomonadati; Pseudomonadota; Gammaproteobacteria. The record is from RNAcentral.